RNAcentral lists this ribosomal RNA (492 nucleotides) under uncultured bacterium. RNAcentral describes it as "partial 16S ribosomal RNA". It matches the Rfam family "Bacterial small subunit ribosomal RNA", at positions 29 to 507 of the family's 1533-position model. The record is from RNAcentral.
AUUGAACGCUGGCGGCAUGCUUUACACAUGCAAGUCGAACGGUAACAGGCCUUCGGGUGCUGACGAGUGGCGUACGGGUGCGUAAUGCAUCGGAACGUACCCAGAGGUGGGGGAUAACGCAGCGAAAGCUGUGCUAAUACCGCAUGUGAUCUGAGGAUGAAAGCGGGGGACCGAGCAGCAAUGUUUGGCCUCGCGCCUUUGGAGCGGCCGAUGUCGGAUUAGCUAGUUGGUGGGGUAAAGGCCUACCAAGGCGACGAUCCGUAGCUGGUCUGAGAGGACGACGAGCCACCCUGGCACUGAGACACGGCCCAGACUACUACGGGAGGCACGAGUGGGGAAUUUUGGUCAAUGGGCGCAAGCGUGAUCCAGCAAUGCCGCGGGCGGGAAGAAGGCCUUAGGGUUGUAAACCGCUUUUGGCGGGAACGAAACGGUGUCCGCUAAUACCGAGCGCUAAGGACGGUACCUGAAGAAUAAGCACCGGCUAACUACGUG